UUUCAGAUGUAUGAAUAAGUAUUUAUAUUACAAUUAGGUUCGCUUCUUAAAAAGUUAAACCAUGUGUUUAAAGUAUAUAUAUUAUAACAAAUCAUGACACUACAGUGUAUACUAAUGAAAAAAUGCCUUAACAACUGAGCUCUGGGAAAAGAGACAAGAACUCCUGAUGAUAUCUGCAAUUUUAUGCUCAUGUCUUGAACAUCAUCCUCAAUACAUACUUUCUUUUGGUGAUUAAUGAAUGAAGUAGAGGCUUCUGCGAGUAUGAAACGUGCAAAGAAGAAGACCACCUGUGAAAGAUUGUACUUCUUUCUUUACUUUUGUAACCAUUAAAUUUGUUCCCGUAUAACAAGAAAAUAAAAUAAAAAAAAUCCCUAAAUAAUUGUAGUUCUUACCA
Raphanus sativus (radish) is the source of this 394-nucleotide long non-coding RNA. RefSeq lists it as uncharacterized. The transcript has 2 exons. The record is from RefSeq and is a predicted model, not a curated record. Lineage: Eukaryota; Viridiplantae; Streptophyta; Magnoliopsida; Brassicales; Brassicaceae.